GAUUAAGCUAAUAAGAGCGUAUGGUGGAUGCCUUGGCAUCAGGCGCCGAAGAAGGACGUGAUAAGCUGCGAAAAGCUACGGGGAGUUGCAAAUGAACAUUAUAUCCGUAGAUAUCCGAAUGCGGGAACGCACUUUAUAGAGAUAUAAAGUAUCGUUACAUGAAUAAAUAGUGUAACGAGGGGAACCCGGGGAACUGAAACAUCUAAGUACCCGGAGGAAGAGAAAGUAAAACAACGAUUACCUAAGUAGUGGCGAGCGAACGGGUAAGAGCCUAAACCUUAUGUAGAAAUAUGUAAGGGGUUCGGACUCACACAAGCUAUUCAAGGAAGUAGAUGAAGAGUGUUGGAAAGCACAGCGAAACGAGGUAAAAGCCCUGUAAUCGAAACGGAAUUGAAAGCGUGAGCAUCCAGAGUACCAUCGAGCACGAGAAAUUCGGUGGGAAUGAGGGAGGCCCAUCUCCUAAGGCUAAAUACGACCUGAUG
Molecule: ribosomal RNA, 482 nt
Filed under: Clostridia bacterium
Lineage: Bacteria; Bacillati; Bacillota; Clostridia
Description: partial 23S ribosomal RNA
Rfam family: Bacterial large subunit ribosomal RNA
Source: RNAcentral